Molecule: long non-coding RNA, 4387 nt
Organism: Acinonyx jubatus (cheetah)
Lineage: Eukaryota; Metazoa; Chordata; Mammalia; Carnivora; Felidae
Exons: 3
Source: RefSeq, a predicted model, not a curated record
AUGCAAUCUCGUAUUUCCUUAGGAAUGAAAUCUUCACCCUCUCUCUAGGUCUUCUUCAUUUCCCAUUCCUGAAGGACAGAAAGACAAGACGAGUCAGUUUGCUGAAUGUUCUAUGUGACUUGCAGGAUAAAAACAUUCUACGGCACCUAAUUAUAUAAAGAUCUCCACGGACCAGAUUAGAGAGCCAUGGGUCCUAGUCUCACUCUCUCUCUGUAGCCUUGGGUAAGUCAUUUCUCCACACUGGGGCUCAUCUUCAGGGGGGCCCAAAUAUCACAAAGUUUGUCUUUCUCAGACAAGGAAACAGGCCCAUAGAGAGGAGAAUGGGGACAACUUUUGACGCUAAUGCUGUUCCACCGGACCUUGGUGUGGAGGAGGAGGCUGAUGAGAGAGAAACCAAAGCAGUUUGAUUCUGGUUCCUGGCUCCACAGAAGAAGUCUUAACCUUUAAGCCAGAAGUUCUCAGUUAGGUUCAUGGAUUUUUAGGCAAUCUAAGGGUGAGCUCUGAGGGCGCAUAAGCUCUUGGCUGCUGCAAUUGUCUGUAACACUGCGAAUUGUGGGGUUUUGUUCCCUCCUUAUGAAAGGGCCCAUAGGUCCCAUCAGAUUCUCAUGGGGCUAUGUGACCUUGGAUAUAUUUUAUAAAGGACAAAGACCCUCUGUUCUCUCAAGCAUGUGUGUGCAAACCUCAGGCUGAAAUUAUGCCAAACUACAGCUACAGGGAGAAUUCAAAAGAAACGGCAGAAAGUGGGGUGCAGAGGAGCCCAGAGCAGCCUGAGUCUGCAGGGGUUAUGGCCCUGGAUUUUCGAAGAGGAUCCUGGGAACAUGUCUCUGUCCAUCAAUCCCAGAACCAGGGCCAGUGUCUCACACAGCUGGGAGUGUUCAGCACAUCCGUGAAUGAGUGAAUUAAUGUGAGGCUCAAAACGGUAUCUCCUAUUUCCUUGAUUCUAAGUCACACUCUGUUGUCACAUGUUAACAUUUCUAAAGUCAGACCAAAUUUUGCUACCUUAAGUGUGCGCAUUUUUGUGAUGCGUCUUCAUUCCCUUACCCCAAAUCAGUAAAUUGAUGGCACUUAAAUUGGCCCUUAAAUAGGCACUUAAAUUGAUGGCACUUUCAUUAGGAAGGAUGAUGAUGAUGAUGUUGAGGAAGAGGUGGAAGGAGGAUAAGGAGGAGGAAGAAUGGGAGGAGAAGCCCACUUGUCCUGGAUAACCAGGUGACCUCUGCCAUGGGAGGUGUCAAGGUCCAGCCCCACCCCCCACCUUGAAUGCCCAGGACGCACCCAUGUAGGUACCUGGGUUGUUCCGAAUGGCUUCCUUCAGCUCCCUCUUCUCCUGCCUCAGUGCCAUCAGCUCUGUCCGGAUUGUCUCCUUCUCUUUUUCCAGCCUCUCUUUUUCUACCAGGUACCUCCGGGCAUCUUCCUCAGCUCGGUUCUUACCGUACUUGUAUUGAUUGGCACCUGCACAGAUAGAAGACAGGAAAAGGCCCCCAUUCCUGACCUCUGCUCUUGUAGGGAUCGCAGUGGUCCCCCAGUGAUGCAUGCAAAAAUCAAUUCUUGUCACAAUGGCCCUGAUCACAAAUAAAGCAUGGAGGGCACAGAAGGGGACCCAUACUUCCCCCAACUUGCCAGAUACACAAUGGCAUCCCAGGGGAGUUUUCUCCCAGACUUUUGGAUUCGAUAGACUGGUAAAUAAAAAUAAAUGGGUAGACCAACAAAAUGGUGUCAGUGUUGUAUCAGAUAAGGACCUUAAAGUCCCCAACCACCAUCUGUUAUUCCCAAUAUUUUAUAAAAUAAAUAGUACCUCAACAUCUCUAGAGUUGGAAGGACACAAAUGCAGAGGAAAACAGUCAUUUACACUGAACAGAUUGAGCAACCUCACAAGAGACCCCAAGCCAGAACUGCCUAAUGAAGCUGUUCCAGGAUUCCUGACCCACGGAAACGGUGACGUGACUCAUGUUUACUUUUGGAGCUAGUAAAUUUUGGGUGAUUUAUCACCCGUAAUCGGUAGCUAAUACAUGACCUUGGGCAAGACCCUUCUCUUUAAUGUUCUUCAGCUGUUUCAUCUGAGACACAUGGUCGGACUAGAUCUGUAGUUUGAGGAGCCCUGUGAUUUCACAGUGACGGCUACCAGGCUGCUGCAGGGGCAAAGCGGGGGCCGGCGGGUGGCCCAGCUCCAACCAGAGCAGCUCCCCUUCUAUAUCCCUGAUAACCUGGACUUAACUAUAACAUUUGAUUUGAAGAACCUGUGUUUUGUUAUCUUUGUUGUUGUUUUUUAACGUUUUGUGAUUUCUUUAGUCUUACAUGCCUAUUUCAGUUUACUUUUCCAUUUUAUUUUCAUUUAUUUAAAAAUUUGUUUUUAAGUUUUAUGUAUUUAAGUAAUCUCUACACCCAACGUGGGGCUCAAACUCAUGACUCCGACAUCAAGAGUCACAUGCUCUGACUGAGGCAGCCAGGCGCCCCUACUUUUCCAUUUUAAAAUGGGCAGUCCAGGGGCGCCUGGUGGCUCAGUCGGUUAAGCGUCCGAUUUCAGCUCAGGUUAUGAUCUCGUGGUUCGUGAGUUUGAGCCCCGCAUCGGGCUCUGUGCUGACAGCUCAGAGCCUGGAGCCUGCUUUGGAUUCUGUGUCUCCCUCUCUCUGUGUCCUUCCCCCGCUCGCGCUCUGUCUCUCUCUCAAAAAUAAAUAAACAUUAAAAAAAAUUAAAAAGGACAUUCCAUAAAGGCCCAUAUUUCCAGUGCCAAUGAGAGUAGAGCGUCAGGAAUGUUACACAACAACCGUCUGAUUGUUCAGUGGGAAAACUCAGACCCAGAGAGGGGAAGGGACUUUUCCAAAGUUAUGCAGUAAUUAAAUGAUCAAGUGGGGAAUGGAAUAUAGCUCUUCUGACCCCCAGAAGAGAUUGUCUAUAUUCAUGAAAUGGAGAUCUAAUAAAGAAAAGUAUUUAAAAAAUUAAUCUUCAAAAAGCAAGGGAUAGAACUUGACUGUGAUCAGGUGCAGGGGGCAGAACUAUAAAGCAAUAAAUAAAAGACUCUUGGAACGUGCUGUCCUACAGGAAGCUGGCCUGCUCAUAAAUCACACAGGAGCAGAGAUCAGCGUUGGAAAUCAAACAGAAUUUACCAUAGCCUGCCAUACUUAGCCUUUAUUGUGCUGUGUGGCAAUCAGGCAAUUCAUGGAGCUCCUAUGGGGUGCCAGGCAGAGCCCGGGCUAGGACACAGAGGUGAGCCGUGCCUUCCAGGCAGCUGCCUGAAGGGUAUUUGGAGGAGUUCAUUUCUCCACUUGUUACCCCAGAUCAGAAAUUAUAAAUUGUUAGCUUUGGAACAGACAGAGCCUGAGGAUGAAUUUUACACGUGCAUAUAUGUGCAUACAUAUAUAAGAGACAAUGGAACAUAAAAACAUAUUUGGCCUUAUUUAAUGUUAACAUUUUUGAAAAUUAAUUGCUAGUGUUAAGAAAUAAGUGGAUUUCACAUAAUGGCUAGAUUUCUGGUCUCUUGAAUAAUCUGCAAACCUGGGAUGGCAUGGCUGUAUGGGAGCCACCGGCUGGGGCUGGGUAGUGGCCAGCCCUAUAGCUGGAGCCUGAGUUCUCCGGCUUCCUGCAGUCUUCCCCCACCCCAUUCCCUAGCGUUUCUCUUCUGAGGCCACUUGCUAGCUGCCCUUCAGCACUUGGCUUGUGCCGUCAUUUUUCUUACGGUAGGGUAUCUUCUUAUAUCUCACUUCACUCAUUAAUGUGCCUGCCUGACGUCCGGAGGAAUCCGAUUUGAGACCCCCUGCCCUGUGGAUUGUUUCCUUCCUUUCCUCCCUCCCACAUGGGACUCACUGGAGGCAUGGCGCUUGACUUUGACCUGCGGAUCCACGCGAUGGGACUUCUCACUGCAGGAGGAGGCAUGGCGUUUCACCUGGGCCCCAGUGGGACGCUUGGGCUCCUCGUCCUGGAUGGGAGGUGGAGAAAGGAGUUGAAGUACAGGUAGGCUCAGGGCCCUCAAUGCGGGGGUGUGUUCUGGUCCAAGUGUGGUGGGUGAGCGUUGCAGGACCUCUGAGAUCUAGGUCUUACAUUUUUAGACCGGGGCGGCACUCAACAGUUUAUAGACUACUUCUACUAGCAUGUAUCAUUUGAUCCUCAUCCCUUCCUGUCAGGGGCAGCAGAAGGCGCCCUUAAACUGGGAUAUCUGCUGAGAGGAAAUCAGGAAGUCUCAGAGGGCCGUAGGUGACCAUAUUUGAUUUAUCUUUUUUUUUUUUUAACGUUUAUUUAUUUUUGAGACAGAGAGAGACAGAGCAUGAACGGGGGAGGGUCAGAGAGAGGGAGACACAGAAUCUGAAACAGGCUCCAGGCUCUGAGCUGUCAGCACAGAGCCCGACACGGGGCUCGAACUCACAGACCGCGAGAUCAUGACCUGAGCUGAAGUCAG